This 200-nucleotide unclassified non-coding RNA is filed under the name Cosmospora sp. Its description in RNAcentral is "partial internal transcribed spacer 2". Lineage: Eukaryota; Fungi; Ascomycota; Sordariomycetes; Hypocreales; Nectriaceae. The record is from RNAcentral.
UUAAGUUCAGCGGGUAUUCCUACCUGAUCCGAGGUCAACCUUUCAGAAUUUGGGGGGUUUAACGGCGUGGCCUUGCCGCGUUCCAGUGCGAGAUAUUGCUACUACGCAGAGGAGGCUACAGCGAGACCGCCACUAGAUUUCGGGGCCGCCCAUCCACUAGGGACGGGCCGAUCCCCAACACCAAGCUAGGCUUGAGGGUU